AAUCACUCAGACAGGUUGGGUGGGA
RNAcentral lists this non-coding RNA (25 nucleotides) under Rattus norvegicus (Norway rat). The record is from RNAcentral. Lineage: Eukaryota; Metazoa; Chordata; Mammalia; Rodentia; Muridae.